RNAcentral lists this ribosomal RNA (369 nucleotides) under uncultured bacterium. RNAcentral describes it as "partial 16S ribosomal RNA". It matches the Rfam family "Bacterial small subunit ribosomal RNA", at positions 338 to 698 of the family's 1533-position model. The record is from RNAcentral.
CCUACGGGAGGCAGCAGUGGGGAAUAUUGCGCAAUGGGCGCAAGCCUGACGCAGCGACGCCGCGUGCGGGAUGACGGUCCUCGGAUCGUAAACCUCUGUCUGGACGGAAGAAGUGGUUAUAUGCGAAUAGUGUAUGACUUUGACGGUACCUCCAAAGUAAGCACCCGCUAACUCCGUGCCAGCAGCCGCGGUAAUACGGAGGGUGCGAGCGUGAAUCGGAGUCACUGGGCGUAAAGGGCGCGUAGGCGGCUGUUCAAGUCAGGGGUGAAAUCCCCCGGCCCAACCGUGGAACUGCCUUUGAGACGGUAGAGCGAGAGUGUCGGAGAGGGUGGCGGAAUGCCAGGUGUAGGAGUGAAAUCCGUAGAUAUC